AUAUCCUGAGCCCUAUAUAAAUCAUACAUACACAAAAUAAAGUUAGACUUGGACUUGGACUUGGACACCGAACUCCUUGUCUCACUGCCUCCUCCUUCACCAACGCUGUCCAUCCCUCAGGAGACCCUGUUCCGUCUGGGGCUGGACCCCAGCAGGGGGGAAGAAGAGAAUAUCCGUCAAAUGCAGAUGGAGGUUGAAGUUGUAUUCACAUGCUCUAAAUGUCAGCCUGCAUCUUUAGACUUAGAGGAAGGAAGAAAAGACAAAACAUGACGUGCUGAAUCUUGCUGUUAUAACAAACGUGAGCAUCCAGCUUCUGGUAGCAUACCUUCAUCCUGCUCUUGGCCUCACUGAUGGAGGAGCAGCCAAGAUAGGGACUCUGCAUAGAGAGGAAGUUACUGAAGCAAUUCACCAAUCAGAGCGUCUGAUUAGUGCUAUAAUUUCAAAUGUAAACAAUAACAAACAGCUCUCUAGAUUUCAGAUGAGAACUGGACUCUUCAAAGACGGCUUCUAUCUGUGGCUAUAAUAAGUGAAUCGGACACUCUUGGAUUGCAGUCAAUUUUAUAUCCUAAGUAUAUUUUUCAUCUCUCAGUGUGCAUUCAUGUUUUACCAAAAGAAAGUGAAGAUCUACCCAUAGCAGUCUUUUAGGAAGGUCAGAGGAAACUGACAAAGCAAGAGCAAAAUUGCAAAAUUGACAUUGAGGAACAAGUGAUGGUGUUAAGCAGCCUUAUCAUUAUUAAAUGAAAUAAAAAGUCAUUAAAUGCAUAUGAACCCAAAGCAAAAUUGAUCAGAAGAGUUAAUCACCCUCAUCAACUCACAUUUGUGGAGGUGCCUCUGGGUGCAAGUUAUCACCGCUCUUGAACACUGGCUGUUCAUCUCUUCAAGGGCAGGAGGCUCAGAGCUGGGAGCAGCCUAGUCCUUGUUGGAGGCCGAGGAGGAGGAGAGAGAAGAGGGUCCUUGGCCACAUGGAUUCCCUUUAUGUUGCUCAAGUUAAAUAUUUUUACACAGCCAUGAAAAUUUCCUUAAGAAUUUUGCUGAGGAAAUAAUGGUGCCAGAGUCAAGGGCUUCCCCUUUGGUGUAAGUGCCAACACUGAAAGGAAAGGGGUUUUUUCUCCCCAAGAAAAUGAAAAAGUUCUGUGUUGGAUUUGAAACUGAAGUCUCAGUGCUGGGAGCCAGCCCUGGGCAAACAGGCGGCUGGAGAGUAAGUCACCUCCCUCCUCUUCUCCUCACAGAGCUGUAUGCCCAUUACCUGAGGGGACGGAAUCCAAGCAUGGGUCAACAAUAAGGCAACAGAGCUCCCCUGAGACCAGGCUUUCAGCUGAGAGAGGAGACAAAAGAAAGAUGUCCUCUUGGAGGAAGGCAGUGAGGAGUGUCAUAGGUCACUUUCUGGGAUGCGCAGGAUCAGAUAACAGACACUCAGCUGGAAGAUGAUGAGGACUGGGGAUUCCAAAGGUGGUUGGGGGUCAAGUUCGUUCAUAAUCUCCACGCACGCCCUGCCCAAGUCACCUCAUACACAAAUAAGCCAAGCAAAAAGACUGCUUCCCAAGCAAACGCAGCUUCAGCUCCCCGGAACAGUCAUGCCAGUGCACUCUCCUUACAACAGAAGUCCUGCUCAGCCUGUGGUGUUAUAGCUCCCAGCCAGGUGCCCUCUGAACCACCCCCGUAUAGGAGUUCUGGAGCCACCACUGGAGGGUGAUUAUGAUUUGAACUCAUUGAUUCUACGAGGAACAUGAGGAAAAGGGCAAAACCACUUACUGGCAUUGGCUCUAACAGCGUCUUGAAUUAUACGGGCGCUGGCUUACAAUGAUUUGGUGCCAGGUCCUGGGGAGAGCGGGCUGCAUAGGAAGCCGGUCCCCAGGCUUGAGGAGCCCUCUCGGAGUCUAAGCGGGUCACACAGGCACAUAGUCAAGAACAAAACCCAAUCAAAUUGGGCUGUGAGGGGGCCCCCAGCCUGGUGCUGUGGAAGUCAGAGGCGGCUGUUACUAAUUUUGAUUGGGGCGUGGGUCAGGAAGGAAAGCGAAGAUAAGGAGCAAUCAGGAUUUCAACAUUGAUUUUGACCCCUAACAGUGGGCUCAGACCACCCCCCGCCCCUCCGGGGGAGGUGUUCUUACUUCAGGCACAUGGUCGUUGCUGAAGAAACAUUUGUGAGCAUUUGGAUGGAUGAAUAAAUGAACAUCUCCAUGAAGAAACUGGGACUCAGAGAAGAAAUAACUUGCCUGAGAUCACACAGUUCAUAAAUAGCAAAGCUAAAAUUCGGACCUACGAAGCUUAUUCUUUUUCUCUCGCAACACAGUAUUUGCUGGGUGAUGGUGCGGAAAGAGCCAGAAACCACAGACAGCCAUGAGGAGAACAUGAUAGGAGCCAACCAAGACCGGGAUUUCAGGAGAGAAGGAAUAAGCCCUUGCUCAUAGAUGUCUGUUUCUUUUUUAUAUUGGCAAGUUCACAUCAGCCAGGGAGCACAUGGCUAACUUGUAAUAAUAUUCGUCUUUAAGAAAACAAAACCGAAAAAACUAUGGUACUCUAUCUUCACUCUCUGAUAUCUAACCGGUAGCUCUGGUGCUAGAGUCUGAAUUAGCCCUGCGAAAAUAUUCUCUUUUCAGCCCACCUUGUUUGGAUAUUUGAUUCAGAAACAAUUAAUGAAGUCCAUUUGCCAUAUGGGUAAGUGAACUCAUUUUAAGUAGGUGUUCUGCAUCCCUGCGGCUCCAGGAGCUGUUGUCAUAGUAACGUUUCCCCCCUUGACUUGCAGAAGGCACAGUCCAUGGAACCAGUGGCAAUGUAGGUCAGGAGUGAAAAGGGGUUUGGUGGCUUCGCCUCAGUGCCCAGUUUGGCACAGCCAGGGAUUGUUAAUGCUGGGGGCUCCAGAGGGGCUCGCCCUCCUCAGGAUGUUCUCUGCUAGGACUGAGUCAGAAGAGGAGAUGCAGAGGAGGGGGGCCAACAGGAGGCACGGAAACGGCAAGGAGAGGCUGGCAGGAGCUGCACGCCUGCAUGGAGAUUCAGAACCCCUGAGAGCCCAGGAUGACCUGGGACAGGUCACUGGCUGAGGGCGGAGGAUGUGGAGCGUUGGGGGCUUACUAUCCCUGCUGCCUGGUGGGAAUUGCGCCCCCUGCAGUCCAGACCCAUUCAGAGUUGGUUUAAGAAGGCCCACGUCAAUCAUCAAUAUAACAGUUUUAGCUGCAGGAGAGGUCAGCUUUACAUUCAGCCUGGAAAUGUGUUUAAGAAGCUUUUGUUUACUCAUCCAUUCAUGUAGCAAACAUUUACUGGCCCGUUUUCUGCACCAGGUACCGUGCUGGCCAGUGCUGGCUUCAUGGGUGCGCCGCCCUUGCCCUUGCACAGGACCCCAUGCUCGGAAGGACUUUGAGCUUGGUUUAAUGCUCUGUUGCCGUCUUGAAAUUCUUAAUCAUUUUUGAACCAGGGCCCCACGUUUUCAUUUUGUACUGGGCUCCGCACUGGGGGUACAGUGUUCAGCCAAGCCAGACACACUCUCUGCCUUCCUGAAACUUGUGGCACAGCAGGAGAGACAGACACAAUCAUGACACAAAUCAAUGUGGAAUUACAACUGGGAGCCGUGCCAUGAGGGACGGGUCUGUAAUGUCUUGCGAGAAGAGCCUUGUACAGCUGUAUGGCUUCACCUCACUGUAUUCAGAAUAGUGGAGAUGGAUCAAAUUACGGCAGAGAGGGUUCAAGUUAGUGUUGCUGAACUAAGUGGUUGGGAGCGCAAGGCAGGCUUCCGAGAGAAGAGGGCAAGUUUCCCCCUCAAGGUUGUAAAGAUCAGGAGGAUACCCACCUGUCAGGGCAGGUGCUUUGGGGGCAAACUUUUAUCUUUCUCUCUCUUCUAAAGGGUUUUUUCUUUUGACUUUGGUGUAAUUUCAGACCUACAGAAAAGUUGAAAGAAUAAUACAAAGUAGUCCCAUAUACCCUUCAUCCAGAGUCCUCAGAUGUUACAGUUUACCAUUUUAUCCUAUCUAUCUAUUUAUUCAUCUAUCCAUCCACCCACCUAUUGCAAAAAGAAAUUCUGGGAGCUUUUCUAGACAUGAAUAUUUUAUUGAGCAAGAAACAAAACGAUUGUGAACAGGGAGACUUCAGACCCGACAGUGAUAUGAAGCUCACAGGCAUGACAUAGCAGGAUAGCUUAUAAAGGGGAAAUGCAGAAGUUGUUAAACCUUUACUGUGAUGGGUUAUUACAAUGAGGUUUUUCACAUGGCAUGGGAUUGGUUGAAACCUAUUAUCUUACAUCAUUUUAGGAAGAUGAUUUAAGUUUUAUUUAUGAUUAUCAGAGGCAUUUAUAAGAAAUAACCUAAGUUUUGCUUACAUUCAUGAGAUAACCUAGAAUAAGCUUUGGUUAUGUGGCUUAACUGGUUUUGUCUGCUAGGGUGAUCUUCAGGCCUGGUCUUCACUUUAUUUUAUUUUAACACCAUCCAUCCAUUCGUCCAUCCAUCCAUCCAUCCCUCCAUCCAUUCAUCCAAUCUAUCUACUGUUUAAUCUUAAAUGUAGACAUAAUAUAAUGCCCUCUUACUGCUAAAUACUAAAAAGCCUAUUUCCUAAAAACAAGAUCAUUUUCUUACAUAACCCUAGUAGAGUUAUUAAAAUCAGGAAGUUAACAUUUAUACAAUAUUAUUGUCUAUGUACAAAUCUUAUUCAGAUUUUGCCCAUUAUCCCCGUAAUGUUCUUUAUAACAAAAGGAAGUUCUGUAUCACACGUUGCAUUCAUGUGCCUUAUCUAUUCAGUCUCCUAUAAUCUGGCAUAAUUCCUAGUCUUUCUUCAUUUUCCCUGACAUUGAUAUUUUUGAGGAAUGCAGGUCAGUUAUAUAUUUUAAAAAUCAGGUAUAUUGAGGCAUAAUCUUCAUAGGGUAGAAUUCACCCUUUUUAGAUGUACAUUUCUCAGGCCGGUUAUCUCAUAGGAUAGCCUUUACUUUGGAUCUGUCUGAUGUUUUCCGUGAUUAGAUUCAGACUGUGAUUCUCUAGCAGAAAUACUGCAGCAGGAGUGUUGCAUUUUUCUCGGUGCAUCACAUCAGGAAGCACGUGGCACUGAUCCCUCCAUUACCGUUGAUGCUGUUGGAGGCUGUGUAAAUACUCUGUUACUCCUCAAACUUUCACCCACCAGUGUUUUCAUCCGUGGAUGAUUCUUGCCUGAAACUUAUUAAUAUGGUGGCUGCUAAGCAGUGAUUUUCUAAUUCCAUCAUUCCUUUUAUAUUUGCUUAUUGUCUUUCGACUGUCAGGACGACAACUUCUUCCCCAACUAAUUAAUAAAUUGUGUGUAGGCUUAUUUAUUCUUAUUUUAUUCAAUGGGUUAUACUCUUUGACUAUCAUUCUUUAUUAUGAUGCUCAAAUUGUUCCAGAUUUGGCCCCUUCAAAGUGGGCCGUAUUUUGUCACAUCCCCCAUCCUUCUUUGAGCACUUCCAUACUCUCUAGCACCACAAAAUGUUCCAAGUUCAUCUUGUACUUUCUGUGCCCCAGCUCUGGAGUCCACCAUUUCUCCAAAGAAGGGUGAAAUUUUCUGAAGGUGCACAUGUUGCCUGAAGUCCUUUCAAUCUUGACAUUCUUUCCAAUUCAUGCGGUAGAACCAUAAAGCGGAGACCUUAGGUUAAACUUUUAUUCAGAAUCCUUAUCUGGCUCUUUUUCCUCCUUGAUUGAAUUUGAAGCAACUUACAAAAAAAUUCAUACAAUAAAAUUUAUGAAAUAAGGAUUUUCAGAGGGGAAAAAAAUGGUGACUAAGAGGAGGAAAACAGAUAUGCCAGCCACCAAAGUAGCUAGGCUUGCCCAGAAAAACUUGGCAUUCAACACUCUGGCAGCCAAAUUAAAGAAGGAGCUGCACGGGCAGCAGACGCCCGGGGCUUGCGGAACACUUCCAGGGACUCUGACCUGCUGGCCCAGCAGGCGCUGCAGCGAGGGGCUGGGCUCCUGUUGCACUGUGGGAAUAAAGAGCCUUUCCGGAUGGUAUUCUGACCUGGCAGACACAGAGAGAGCUGCAGAGAGGAAGCAGCAGCACCAGGAUUUUUUUUUUCUUGAAAGCACUUUGGAGUAUGUCUUGGCUCUUGGACCAGCACUCAGUGAGACCCCACAUUUAGAAGAGAAUUGGUACUUACAGGCCCCACAGUCACUCCUUCGCUGUCUCUCUCAGUGAUGUUCUAUUGAUUAUAUACUAGGAGCCAUGCAGCGAUCAGACCCAGAGGAGGCACAGAGAUCCAGACCCUGACCACCGGGUCCAGUAGCCGAGGAGCCAUGACCAUGAAUGAUGGUGCUCCAGAUUCAACGCUGACUGUGCUCUGAGAGGUGCUGCGGGAAUUGAGAGGCAACUGUGAGGCAUCUCUUCUAGCUGGAGGAGUGUUUCUGGAAAGAGCUGUUGUGGUGUUAAAACAUGGAACUUGAGAUCUGGAAAAGGGCCUGGAAGGGAAUCCUGGCCAGCGACCCCAUUAGAUGCUUGAAUCUCUUCUACCGUUGGACCUUGUGGGUGAACUGUCACUUGAUAGAAGCAAACGUGCAAAUGACGGAAGUUGUCCAUAUGUGAAUAGGCGUUCCAUAGUUCCUUCACUUACGAAUUCAUUUAUUCAACGACUAUUUAUUGAGACCCUAUUAUGCUCUUGGCACUGUGAUAGAUGCUGGAUGUACAAGAGUGAGAAAAACACACUCAAUUUCUGCCCUCAUAGUGCUUUAGAUCUAAUAGAAAAGACAGACGUUAAUCAGAUUUAUCAAAAAGUAUAUGUAUUAUUAAAAAUUGCUCUAAGUGCUAUCGUGAAGGUUACCCAGGACUUCCAGAUUAGGGUUGGCUGCCUCAAGGAAGUGACAGUCAAGUUGGGUCACUAGAUGGGGCAGGACAGGAACAUUCCAGCCAGAGGGAACAGUGUGUGAAGACGUGGAGGGGUCAGAGAACAUCUGAAGAGAGCUACAGGCCCUUGUGGCUAGAGGGCAGAGAGCAGUGGGAAUGUGGGUGACACAUGAUGAGGGAUCAGAGGGUGCAGGUCCAUGGCAGGGGGUCUUCCCGAGGAAGGGAGGAGAGAGAGGCAUGGAGGCGGGGGAGAGCUGAGUUGAUCGGAUCACAAAGCAGGGGGAAGAGAUGUGAGCGUAGAGCAAUAAUUCUAAGAAAUUAGGGAGGUGGGAAGUGAGCUGGGGACAAAGUUAUGAAAUAAUAGGAAUGCUGGUAAUAGGGACGCCAUUUGAGGUGGAAACAAGGCUCUGGGACCUUAGUGACAGAAAACAGGAUACAGGGAAGGCAGGGCCAGUACCUAUUAACACAGAGCUGAAAAUAACCUAGGACUUAACAGUCUAUCCUAUAAUAACCAUUUCUAAUUAUCUAUCCUAUAGAAAUGCUCUCUCUUGCACGAGGAGAUAUAUCCAAGGAUGCUCACUGUAGGCACAAAAGAAGUGGAAACAAUAAAAAUGCCCAUCACUAUGGAGUGGGUAAAUAACCUGUGGUACAGCUUUACCAUGCUGCCCAGUGCAGCAAUGGAAAAAUAGAUCUCUGUGUGCUACAUGGAGGCUCUCCAAGACAUAUGGCUGGCAGAAAGCAUGAGGCAGGACAAUCCAUCAGGAUGAUGUCAUUGCCAUAAGUGGAAAAAGCAGUCCCCCCAAAAUGCUGUCCCCUAUCCCUUGUGAGUACAUAUAUAGUACUUAAGUGCCCAGAAAAAUGUGUGGAAGGCUUCAGAGCAAACUGAAAACAGUGGUCACCUGAGGAGAGGGGCGGGUCUGAGGAUUAGCCAGGGGCAAGGGGGAUUUCUGCUUUAUCUGUAAUGUCUUCAUUUUACUAUGGAAAAUUUGAAGCAUAUACAAAAAUAGGACACUGUAGUAACCACCCAAGUACCUGUCACUCACCUAUUCCCUCCUCCUGAGUUAUUUUUAAGCACAUCCCAGACACUGUAUUCCAUUCAUAAAUAUUUCAGUAAGUAUCUCUAACAGAUAAAGACCGUUUAAUAAAAACAUAACCAUAAUACUAUGAUUACACAUAAAAGUAUUAAUAAUAAUACAACAGAACUGUCAAACACCCAAUCAGUGUUCACAUUUCCUUGUCUUGUGAUGACAAUUUGUUUGUUCAAAUCUGGACCCAAAUAAGUUCCAUCCGUUGCAAUUGGUCGAUAUGUCUCUUAGACUUUUUGUGUGUUUUUGCCAGUAUAUCUCCGGGAUAGAUUCCUAGAAGUGACUUUGUUGGGUCAAAGGAUAAGGGCAUGUGUAUUUUUGCUAGAUGUCCUCAAUUGCCCCUCCACAGCCUUGUGGCAGUUUGCGUCCCCCUGGCGAUGGUGAGAAUGUCCACUUCCCCACAGCCUCACCAGCUUCGGGUGUAUUGUUAGGCUUCGGGAGUUUUGCCAAUCUGAUAGAUGAGACGUGGUAUCUCGCUGUAAUUUUCAUUUCUUUGAAUUAG
Non-coding RNA from Equus caballus (horse), 8346 nucleotides. The record is from RefSeq and is a predicted model, not a curated record. NCBI's taxonomy places the organism in Eukaryota, Metazoa, Chordata, Mammalia, Perissodactyla, Equidae.